This 253-nucleotide ribosomal RNA is filed under the name uncultured bacterium. RNAcentral's name for it is "partial 16S ribosomal RNA". It matches the Rfam family "Bacterial small subunit ribosomal RNA", at positions 524 to 776 of the family's 1533-position model. The record is from RNAcentral.
UACGGGGGGGGCAAGCGUUGUUCGGAAUUACUGGGCGUAAAGGGCUCGUAGGUGGCCAACUAAGUCAGACGUGAAAUCCCUCGGCUUAACCGGGGAACUGCGUCUGAUACUGGAUGGCUUGAGAUUGGGAGAGGGAUGCGGAAUUCCAGGUGUAGCGGUGAAAUGCGUAGAUAUCUGGAGGAGCACCGGUGGCGAAGGCGGCAUCCUGGACCAACACUGACACUGAGGAGCGAAAGCCAGGGGAGCAAACGGG